AUUGCUCUCUUAUCAUUACGUACUACCCAGAGCACCGCCUACCAUACCUGCUCCAGGGGUUUUCCAAAGAACAAUGAUCUCAGAGACAAGCCCUUCAAGGGGACACUUUAUGUGACAUGAUUAACCUGAAGUUUAUGUCCACUGGAGGACUUCUUUCAAAAGCAAUAAUAGCUACUUCAAGAAAGAACUCUCCACGACAAAUUCAUUUUCCAGAUUCUGUAAGCUUACUGUUAAGCAGCAGGAGAAAACAUUUCAGGGAAAACUCUAAGGAACAUCAGAGAGGAAAACCCUCAAAUGCUCCCACGUACCCAAAGCUGAAUGCAUUAGCCUCUUUCUGACACCAUUACUGUAAGAAGAUUUCUCUAAGAGAACCUGAAAGUAAUCUUUAUGGGUUGCAAGAAGUGUGCACACCCUUUUGGAAUUUUAUCAGGUAAUCUUAGCAUGGGGCAGCUCAAACAAACCAGAGCCCCACAGCGUCAGCCUUCACAUAGCUGGAGGAACAGGAUGCCAGCCCAUAUCCGUCUCCUUACAGGUGGGUGUUGGCUCAUUUUAAGCAGAUGGUGGGUUUAUGAUUCUAACGUGCUUUGUAUUUCCCAAUAGACAAAUAUUUGCACUGGAACCAGAAUACAUACAAAAAAAAAUUCCUCAGCUUAGCUUGCAAAGAAUAUCGGAAGUUUUAGGACACCUCAGCAUUAAAACUAUUGUAGGAAGUAAGUACAUGAGCCACGAGUCCUCUUUCCUUUUUCUUCUACUGAAAAUCUUCCCUAGCAAAUAAAAGAAAAUGUUUGGAAGAAGGU
This is a long non-coding RNA of Lemur catta (Ring-tailed lemur), 797 nucleotides long. RefSeq lists it as uncharacterized. The record is from RefSeq and is a predicted model, not a curated record. The transcript is spliced from 3 exons. NCBI's taxonomy places the organism in Eukaryota, Metazoa, Chordata, Mammalia, Primates, Lemuridae.